GAAGGUUCGUCGUCAAAAGGGAAACAGCCCAGACCAACAGCUAAGGUCUCCAAAUCCAUGCUCAGUGGUGAAGGUAGUGGAACCGUUUAGACAGCCAGGACGUUGGCUUAGAAGCAGCCAUCGUUUAAAGAAAGCGUAAUAGCUCACUGGUCUAAUGGCUCUGCGCCGAAAAUGUAACGGGGCUAAGCAUGGUACCGAAGCUUUGGCAAUCCCCUUUGGGGAUUGGGUAGGGGAGCGUUCGCUGCGGGCUGAAGGUGUGCCGGAAGGCAUGCUGGACUGCAGUGAAGUGAUUAUGCUGACAUGAGUAACGAUAAAAUAUGUGAAAAACAUAUUCGCCGAAAACCCGAGGUUUCCUGGGUAAAGGUAAUCUUCCCAGGGUUAGUCGGAUCCUAAGGUGAGGGUGAAAGCCGUAACCGAUGGAAAACAGGUUAAUAUUCCUGUACUUGUUGUGUAGCGCGAUGGAGGGACGCAGGAAGAUAGGCGGGCCGGGUGUUGGAUAUCCCGGUGCAAGCGUGUAGGAAUAUCCGGUAGGCAAAUCCGCCGGACGAAUCUGAGACGCGAGUCCGUGGGCGCAAGCCCUGAAGCCGUUGAGUCUAUGCUGCCUAGAAAAGCUCCUAAGUUUAUCCACAGCAAUCCGUACCGCAAACCAACUCAGGUGGGUGGGAUGAACAAUCCAAGGCGCUCGAGAGAACUCUGGCCAAGGAACUCGGCAAAAUAACCCCGUAACUUCGGAAGAAGGGGUGCUCUCUAGGGUGACAUGUUUAACAUAUGAAGCCCCGGGGAGCCGCAGUGAAUUGGUGGUGGCGACUGUUUACUAAAAACAUAGGUCUGUGCGAAGUCCUAAAGACGACGUAUACGGACUGACGCCUGCCCGGUGCUGGAAGGUUAAAAGGAGGGGUCAGCGCAAGCAAAGCUCCGAAUUGAAGCCCC
Molecule: ribosomal RNA, 930 nt
Filed under: Escherichia coli
Lineage: Bacteria; Pseudomonadati; Pseudomonadota; Gammaproteobacteria; Enterobacterales; Enterobacteriaceae
Description: partial 23S ribosomal RNA
Rfam family: Bacterial large subunit ribosomal RNA
Source: RNAcentral